AUCCAGACUCCUACGGGAGGCAGCAGUGGGGGAUAUUGCACAAUGGGGGCAACCCUGAUGCAGCGACGCCGCGUGAGCGAUGGAGUACUUCGGUAUGUAAAGCUCUGUCAGCAGGGAAGAGAAUGACGGUACCUGACCAAGAAGCCCCGGCUAAAUACGUGCCAGCAGCCGCGGUAAUACGUAGGGGGCAAGCGUUAUCCGGAUUUACUGGGUGUAAAGGGAGCGUAGACGGCCAGACAAGUCUGAAGUGAAAAUCCAGCGCUUAACGUUGGAAGUGCUUUGGAAACUGCCGGGCUAGAGUGCAGGAGGGGCAGGCGGAAUUCCUAGUGUAGCGGUGAAAUGCGUAGAUAUUAGGAGGAACACCAGUGGCGAAGGCGGCCUGCUGGACUGCAACUGACGUUGAGGCUCGAAGGCGUGGGGAGCAAACAGGAUUAGAUACCCGUGUA
This 446-nucleotide ribosomal RNA is filed under the name uncultured bacterium. Its description in RNAcentral is "bacterial SSU rRNA". It matches the Rfam family "Bacterial small subunit ribosomal RNA", at positions 329 to 792 of the family's 1533-position model. The record is from RNAcentral.